This 492-nucleotide ribosomal RNA is filed under the name uncultured bacterium. RNAcentral's name for it is "partial 16S ribosomal RNA". It matches the Rfam family "Bacterial small subunit ribosomal RNA", at positions 29 to 507 of the family's 1533-position model. The record is from RNAcentral.
AGUGAACGCUGGCGGUAGGCCUAACACAUGCAAGUCGAACGGCAGCACAGUAAGAGCUUGCUCUUACGGGUGGCGAGUGGCGGACGGGUGAGGAAUACAUCGGAAUCUACUUUUUAGUGGGGGAUAACGUCGGGAAACAUACGCUAUUACAGCAUACGACCUACGGGUGAAAGCAGGGGAUCUUCGGACCUUGCGCGAUUGAAUGAGCCGAUGUCGGAUUAGCUAGUUGGCGGGGUAAAGGCCCACCAAGGCGACGAUCCGUAGCUGGUCUGAGAGGAUGAUCAGCCACACUGGAACUGAGACACGGUCCAGACUCCUACGGGAGGCAGCAGUGGGGAAUAUUGGACAAUGGGCGCAAGCCUGAUCCAGCCAUGCCGCGUGGGUGAAGAAGGCCUUCGGGUUGUAAAGCCCUUUUGUUGGGAAAGAAAAGCAGCAGGUUAAUACCCCGCUGUUCUGACGGUACCCAAAGAAUAAGCACCGGCUAACUUCGUG